CCCAAUCUAAAAUUAUGCCCCAAAUGUUCACAGUCAUGUUGGCACAAGAGUUCUUAUUGGGUUUUGAUUGGGUUAGGCCUAAUCUGAGAAGUGUGUGUACAGAGGGUACAGCCAGCUGAGCUGUCCUAUUGACCUGAUAUCCAGUCUCUGCUUCCCCAGAUGAGAGAAGAGAGAGAGAGAGAGAGAGAGAGAGAGACUGCUAAUGUUCAUCAUGAGGAGGAUAAAACCUGUCUAGAAAAGGUCAUGCUCAGUUAGAACACAGUGGAUUUGGUUACCAGAAAAAACAGGUGUAAUAUGACAUCUGAGAGUUCCAUGUUAAACCCCGACUAGCCCGUGUCACUCUGUAGUGUCUGGAGUGACCUUGCUCAUUGUCACCCUGAUACCGGUCCGGCUGCUGCCCGCUGCUAGUGCUAAUGAAACAGAGCUGAACACUGAGAGAGCAAUGUGUGAGCGCAACCGGUGCUGUUAGCUUAUCUCUCAUCAUAGGGUUCAUAUGUGAGGAAUACAACACAAGCGUACGAGCUGUUCUAGUUUAUAAUCAACGACGGCGUGGUGUGACAUGAGUUACUGUUGCAACUAAAGAGUUGAUCAUUGUCGUGUAGCAGCAAAGCGCUUUAUUCUUCUUAUACUACACAACAAUUUCCCAAUGCAGAUGGAUGUUAAAGAAAGAAUGACACAUUGUACUUAAUGUUAUGGAACAUCCAUAAAAAACUGAGCUCCUAUUACUCAUGUAAUCGCAGCUAUAAAACAUCCCUCACAGAAUAACUAAUAUUUCUGUUUUCCCCCCAUGAGGAAGUGCAUUCAAAUAAUUACAUGAACAAAUGAAUUAAUGGGUCAAAGAGUGAAUAACUGAAAGAAAGAACGAGUAGAAAAAAGGAAGUCUGUUUCCAUGGAGAUCCACACUGCGUUUGUGUAGGCUUUUGGGUCAUUUCAGUUGGAACCCCACACUUACUGCCUCACUCUCUCCAUCAGAAACGGGCUGAGACUCGGAGCGAUGGUGGAUUGCCGAAUAAACCCAGCUCCUGUCUUCUGGGGGCUGCGGUUACACCACCAACACAACAGCAGGGGGCGUCACAGAGCAUCACUAUGCCUCUGAUUUCCCUGGCGAGUUUGUGGACUCUGAAGCAGGAGCUGAGCAAAAACAGAGGUAUGAGAACAUUCAGAAGUUCAGCGAGGAGGCCAGGUGGUUGGAGCAGUCAGAGGCACUGCAGCAGGCCAGGAGGAAAUAUGUGAGUCGACUCCCCUGACCUCACAGCUUCCUGCUUCCUGUAGACUGCAGGAAGUGGGGACUAAUUGCUGAGCAAGCCUCCCUGUUGCCGCCUGAAAAAAUAGAGUCAGAUAGAGUCCCUGAGUGAGAACUAUAAACAGGUUAUGUAAUAGAGAUAUGUGUAGUUAUACAAUGUAAACUGUAGCAAAGAGGAUCUUAGGACAGUGUUUCAUUAACAUAUAAACACUAAUAUCAUUUGAAGUUUGCAGCCGACAUCAAACUGCUCCUGUUGUUUUUAACCAAAGUUUUGGGGUGUAAAUGAUUAUAAUUUCACUAUUUCCUAACUUAUUUAGCUCAGUGGUAUGUUAUUUUAGUUCCACUAUAUUUUUUUUAGUGUGUGAGUUUUUUGGGGUUUUUUUAAAGUUAUUAUUUUUUAAAUUUUUUUUUUUUAGAAAAGUAAUGAAUCACAAACAGUGAGGACUUCCGAGGUGUUGAAGGAUCCUUAUCAGAAACAGUAAAAGAAGUGUGGUACAGUGAACUUCCUUUUUGAACAUGCAUAUGUGAUAAUUGUAUGCUGCAUGACUGAAUGCAAAACAGUGUGCUUUCUAUUAAGAAAUGCUACUAAAGGAGAAGUGCUGACCUGAAUUUCCUGUGAUAUCUUUCCACUUCCUGAUAUCAUUAAAGCUGUAGUUCAGAAGAAAGACUUUAAAAUGUGUAAUAGCUGUUAUCAUAAUUUUAUAGUAUAUGAUUGUGAGUGAAUUUGUGUCAUUGGAUUAGAU
This is a long non-coding RNA of Ictalurus punctatus (channel catfish), 1986 nucleotides long. The record is from Ensembl. Lineage: Eukaryota; Metazoa; Chordata; Actinopteri; Siluriformes; Ictaluridae.